UCUGCUGAAUUACAGCAAAAACCAACUGCCAGAGCAUUUUUCUGAGUGCUUGCCUGGGAUCCUGCUAACUGUGCUGAGAUCCUCUGAGAAAAGGCACUACCAAAUAAUAAAAAAAUACAAAACUCUUGGAUGUUUAGUAGUAUGUUUUUAUGGGGCAUGUGUAUGACCAUCAUGAUUUUUUUGAAGGCAUCACAGCUUAAACGUUAAGGCAAAAAUUUAUUCUAGCUAGAUUUUAAAACAAACGAGGUUAAUUAUAGAUUACAUAUGUAUUAUUUUUUCAGACUUAACUACUUACUUGGUGUUCAUUGUAAACAGCUUUUCUAUAUCUAAGGAGAUUAUAAUACAAGAGAAGUUUCUGAAGUGCGGAAGACUCCUGUGAAAUAACUACUCUGUAACAUCUGCCACAAUAUUUUACAAAUGUGAGGGCAUCUUGAUCAUCCUUUGAAGACUGUAAAAUUAGUCUCCUUGUAUGCUGCUGGUAGCAUGCUUCAUGUCACCAAAAUGACAUCCUGCAAUAUCUUUGUCUCUUGCUCACUGUGUCUGAACUUGAUACCAGUGUAAAUACUAAUUUCUGUUUAGUCAGAGUAAACAGAAGAGCUUACAUCAGUGUGAUCUAUAUCUACUUUAUAUAACAGGAAAAGUGAUCAGGUACUGUACGGUACCUUACAUUACAUAAUCACUUGUGUAAUUUAGUGUUCCAGAAUUAGUCAGCUCACAUUAUUACCCAGUGAAAAGGAAAGAAAAAUGAUGAAGGGAAUGAGAGGAUUUUAUUUGGUUUUGAUGUCCUUGUAUUUUGUAUCUAAAAAGGCAGACAAAACUUUCCCUUUGAAGCAUGCUCUAAAAUACAACUUGAAAACUUAUUUUACCAUAUAGUUGUUUGUUGGUCAAUAAAACAUAGAUUAAGUGAUCAACUCUUACAAGGAACCACUUUUGAAAAUAAGUAAAACUUCCAGUUACCAGGUCUGCAAACGCACUGUGGGUUCAGAGAGUCAGGCUGAAUCUUUUUCCCACACUGGUACACUAAAUUUUCUGCAAGUAAUUCCUUUGCUUCAGCUCACUGGAAUUUAGUAAAUAAUUUGGUCGUGCCCAAGAAGGAAUAAAAUUCAGCUUAGGCUCUUAGCAAUGUUGGCUCUGCAGGCAUUGCAGGGGUAUCACUGAUGAUUUAUUUUUUAUGACCAAACAUAGCAGACACUUAUGUUUGCAAUGCAUAAGACAAGAAAAGCUACAGGAUGCACUAACUGUGGUAUGGUUCAUGCUGUUACUGUUCCCCAGAUAAACAGCCACACCUAAGUUUUAGACUGUGUUUUAUCCAAGUUUACAUGUUUUAGUUUCUUAAACAAAAAUGCACUGUAACUAUACAAUCUCAGAACACAGAAGAGAAAUCUGAAAAUGAAGCCUGCAGGGAAACAACUGGGAAGGGCAGAAAGGUUUGGGGUUCUCAAUUUUUUCCUUAGUGAUCCCAAAGAGGGAAUGUUGGGUGUCUUGAUAAUGCAUGCAUCUGUCCGCUUUCUGGCUUUUUUUUAGCUUUGCAGCUGGAACACAAAACCCCUUUGUGCUGUUAUUAAUGGAGAAAUUUAUGUUUGCCCUUGAGUUUUAAAGAAUAUUAGAUUCAUAAAGUGUACUUAAAAUAUAUUUGAAUUUUCAGUAUAGUAUGUUAAAAUUAACACUUUAAAGCUUAAGAGAUUAUGUUUAAAAUUGUCUAGAAUGAUGUUACAGAGAGAACUAGGGUCACUUCUGAAGCUGUAAUGUUUGGCUCUGCAUAGAAGCAGCUGGAGCAUAAAUGAAGUAGACAUGGUUUUUAUGAACACAAGCUUUUUAAGCUUCUGAAGAGCUAUAGCAAUUCCUUUUUUUAAGGAGGGACUUAUUAACAUAACUGCUGCAGAUGAUUUAGGACAAAGAAAGGUGAGGGAAUAGCCAGAAGCUUAAAGUGGCAGGAUUUCGUAAUACUACUCUAUUGUCUUCUAGCUAUGCAACCUUUGGGUUCCUUUAUCAAGGUAACUUGUAAAUCAGUUUUUCUUUCCAGUAAGAACCCACAGUGUUUGGGUAGAAUUCCUGCCUGGAUGGCUGUCAAAUGACAAAGCUGACUGAUACCUUUAGGGGACCAGGACAGAGGUUGAAGUUACUGUAUAGAGAAGAGCAAGGAGCAGAGGCAGGGAGGGCUCCUGAAAAGUGAGUAGUAUGCAGUGGGCUGUAAAUGCCAGUAAGCUGAGAGGAUGAAAUUUGUCUGGCUGUCCGUGCCUGUGCAUGUGUUUGUUCCAGCAGGCAGUGAAGAAAGAGAUGUGGAGCAAACACCAGAGGGACAGCAGGACCACCACAGCCUUCUGAUUUUCAAAAAUAUUUCUAAUGCGCUAUUUCUAGACAUCUGAAGUGAAAGGUUAAAGAGGCUCUGAGAAGCUCUCUGUAGAGUAGCUAUAAAGUGACAACUGGUGUUUUACAAAUUCCACAGUAAACAACUCAGAUUUUGCCUAUUAAAAGUGAGACAUUUCAUGUUGAUGCAUCUCUUCUUGUCCUAAAUUAUUUUGAUGUAGUAUGCAGCUCUCCGUAGUGUAAAACUUUGAAGCUAUUUAGAAGCACCUAAGUGGCAAUGUCUGUUCAGGACAGCAGUUGUAGGCGGCUACUCUAAUGCCUGUGUCCAUGGAUCUUCACAGCACUUCAGGGAAACUCAGUGAAAUGGCAAAGCGAGGUUGAGGCAUAGAAACGGUGCAGGAAUUCUGGCAAGAAAAUUAACUUCUUGCAAAUUCCGUGCCUUGAUCAUGGAAGCAUGUUUCUGGGUGGUGUAGCCUGAUGACACCAUGGCAUAGGAAACUCUAAAAUAGUCUGGAAUGAUCAAAAUUUGGUAGUUGUCAUGCUGAUAAGCCAGCUGUUCAAAAAUAACUUGUUUUAUUGGUGUAGCUGCCAGUGUCCACUGGCGACCUGUGUAUUGGUAAAGGGUACCUGACACUCAGGCUAUGAAACAGAGUAGUGGUGGUGGUGUUAGUGUUGUAGCUUAGUUGAUGGGUUUUUUGUUUAAUUUAGGAACAAUAGAUAUCUUCCUACCAACAAUAACUAUUCAAUUCUGUGUUCAUAGCUCUAGUUGUUGGGAAGAUGCGAGUUGUGUACCUGUCUUUUUAGCUAUCAUAUGGUUCUAUUUGCUGAAGAGCGAAAGGAAAAAUAUUUACUAUAAAUAAUCUACACUUAUGCACCCAGUUUAGAAAUUCCCAGCCUGCAGCUCCUUAGAAAAGCUGGUUGCAUUCAGUAUGUUUAUUGCUUUUUCUCCUCUUCAUUCUGACUUUGUCUUUUUUUUAACUGCCAGUGCCUGUAAAUCUGUAGCCAACAGCUGAUGUUGGCUGUAUCUUGUUUUUGAUAGAAGCUGACUAGACUUGUGGAACUGGGAAGCAGUUGCCCUGAAGUUGCCAAUAAUGCAAGAACCUAGAGGAGUCUGAGAGAUCUCCAUGGUGCUCGGUGUUGCAAUGCCAAAGCUUCCCCUGUUUUGCUGACUGUUAAAGAACCAUGCUUUCCUAUUCUUCCUAUCUUAAGAAGCUCCUAAUUAUAGGCUUAUUCUGGCAAGACCAGUAGAUGUGACACACUAAGCAAGCCACUAUAUUUCCUGGAUUUCUACAGUGGAUCCAGCUUCAGAAUUGCCAGUACUAGACUGAAGAAAUGGUGUAAAAAAGUAUGCAAGCAGGAGCCACAAUAAUACAGUAAUAAAAAUUCCGUUCUCACAGUAAUAAAUUUAUCAUAGAUAACUUAGUGCAGAAGACCUGCAAGACAAGGAGGGAUAGGCUUGCCAUAGAAAUGGAUUAGUAAGAAGAAAGAUUUUUCUGAAUAUUAUGAGCAGCCCACACUGCCUCUAAAAAUGGUGUGAUGUGUUGUUGAUCCUACUCAUGAGUCUGGCAGUAAAUUCUGAAUAAUGCAUGUACCUGAGACUUUGUCCUCAACAAAAUUUAUAUGUCUUCUUUGUGCAGCUAAUGGAAGGGUAAGGAGCUAUUGCUACUGCUCCUGAAUACUGCUUUUCAACGAGGUGGUAUUUAGAACAGCAGAAUUUGACAAAUAAAUUAGGAAUAUGGGACAAUUUCUGACUUGAUGAAAUUUAAAUAAUUCAUGAUUGUUUACACUCAAGACCUGUGGAAUGGUGGCAUGCCUCAGCUGGACUAGGCAAAAGUGCCUGUACAUGCUUGGAACUGGUGUUUUCCUUUUGAUAGGAGGUUGGACAAGGCAGCAAAGAUUCCUUUGUUUUGCCAGGGAAAGCACAACACUCCUUGAAAGGACUUCCUUUUUAUGUUCCUUGUUGAACUGAAUUAGGUGGGAAUACAGUGCUUGACUAGGAAGCUCACAAUGGCCUUUUUUCUUCAUUGUCUGUCUUUCUCGAGCCUACAGAUUUGCAAUGGCACACCAUAUUGAUCUUCCUUUGCCCCCGUGCUUCUGUUGGGACUUGUUAAUUAGCUCCUGAACAACUUCCCUUUCAUCUUUUGGGGGUAUUUGUCACACUUUGGGCACAGGCUUUUGUGUUGCUGCUCUGUGUCAGAUACUAUUCUGAAUAUGUCAAAAGCUGAGCAGAAAGCUAUUUUAAGUCUGAGUGCAGCUGUUGAUUUGAGAAUUUAAGAGUUGCUGUUAGACUACUCUUCCAGAGAUGCUUCAAGCCAUGCUACAUGUGGGCUUGGCAUCUAAGGAUCCCCAAAAUAUCUACUGGGCCAUCCGUUGCUAAAUUGUCUUGGAAGCUUGUUGUGUUGUCUUUUUUUUUAUUUUGUGUGUAAUGCCAUCAUUUCCACAUCUGCUAGUGGGAUCACCUUUCAAAUGCAUGACUAUUUUUCAUAGUAUGGGAAGAAUAUGGGAGGCUGUUCCUGCUUCGCUUGUGUAAGUUGUAACACCUUUUUGCUUUGAUGUUUCAAGAGUUAGCAAAGACAGACUACAUCAUGACAUAUUUUGGGAUGCACUAGUUCCAGUGACUUAGCUAAAAUGGACUGGAUGAACAGAUUUCCAACGCUGACAGUCAAAUUUGGGAGCUUUGCAGGAUUUCUCACAGGAGCAAGAAGUGGGAUGGCCACUGAAGCAAACAUGAUUCCAUGUUUAUGAAUGCUUCUCCCCACUGCAAAAUGGGCUACCUGAGGCUGUGUGACAGUGCUCAUGUGCUGAUGAGGUAACUGGUCAGGAUGCCUUUGGAGCAGCAAGGAGUACCCAGAGGUAAUGAUGAGUUCACACAGGUGACAAGUAACUUAGCAAGGAAAUGCCAGUGGGAAGACUGCCAGAAAGGUCAGCAGUCAGGAGUGUGUCUCGUCGACCUGACACACACAAAACUGUAGUGGGAUUACUUCCCUUAAAAAAGGAUUUGUACAAAAAAAAAAAAGGAAGUAUCUUCAUUCAGAGCAAGUUCAUUUUAAUAAGACUUCACCAAGAAGUAGUACAGUACACCACUAGAAAACCAGGUGAAUAGUACUUAAGUAUUUCAUUGCGUAUGUAUAUAAAGAAACAAGAAGCUGCUGCUAUUGGGCAAGCUAAUGUCAAGCUUCUAAGAUGACAUUGACAGAGGUAUUUAAAAGCUGAUUAAUUCACUGUGUCUGUGUUUGUUGACUCUUCGUGAUAUUAUUAUUAAAUAUUGUGGCUUUGGUUUUGCUUGUGGCACAAGUACUAGAGCUUUCACCUCUACUGCUAUGAAUCCUACUGCUAAAAAAUAUCAGUGCCCUAACUCCUGUAGAUCCAUCUUCUCCCAGUAAGGGAAUUACUGAGAGUUGCAUGUGGAGGUUUUCUGAAAAUACUAUGUGUGCCCUGAUUUGUUGUCAGAGUUGAAGGUGAAUCACAAUGUGCAGUACCAAACUUCUGCUUGUGAGCACAUAUGACAAUGUGUUUAGAGCUAUUGUCUUCGGAGCAGUACAUGUUUUAACUAGGUGGUCCAGAGACAGUAUUAGACUUACUAAGUGAUUGGUUUUGUAUGGUGAGUGUGACUGAGGAUCCUGUAUCUGGCAGUGGCUAUUACCUGUUUGGAGGUAAUAUUUCAGUUUAUAUUUUGUUCUUGUACUUUUCUGUAAUGGAGUUUGGUAUGUGCAUAUCAUUCUCAUUUAGAAGAUUAUACAGAGUGUACAUAGGAGUACAGAAGGCUUCUGUGUAAUGUAUCUUAUGCAACGUUUAUGCUUCCAUAAAGAUGCAAAUGUGUGCAGACACCUGCUUAUGCAGGACAUAACCUGUUUGUAUUAGCCAGCUAGCUCUAGGAAGUCUUACUACAAGAUUUGCGAGACGAAAUACAAUUUCUUAACAAAAGAAUGUCAAUAUGCAGUGUACUUAAGGACACCUGAAGCUUUUGUUUGUGUUGUAGCUGGGGGGUGGUGGUGGUGACAUUCAUUUGGCUGAGCAGGAGGGGCUACACGUUGUAAUCCUGACACAAGUCCUCUAGAGAACUACAGCGCUCACCAUGCCAGAUGACCUUUCAAGUAUUUCCUGUGUUCUUGUUGGAAAAGGUCAGCGAGUGAAAGGAAAGAGAGCUCAACACGAUGCAGUUUGCAGUGUGUUGAUAUCAGAACUUUGGGAUUUGCUUUUCUUAAGAAGCUAUUAGAAAUUUCCAGAAAGUUUGUACUGUGGUGUAUCUUUACAUAAUUUGUGCAGUGAUAAACUUUGUUUCCAGCUGCGUGGGCUGGUAAUAAGUACUUGAUCCAAUCAACAACUAACGUGUUGGAAGUUAAGCAGCUUGGCAACUGUAAGAAAAGAGUAUAUGUUAAAUGCUAAGUUCUGAUUUUUGCUGAGAUACCGCAAGCCACUAUCACAGACUUGUUCCUUUCAGCAUGCCCUGCUGUCCUUAUCACUGAUGAAUUACCUGUUACUCUACAAUCAGACAGCAUAGUCUGUCUAAAGACAUUAAAUAAGUAUGGUUGCUAUAGUAGAAAACCAGUAUUGUUAUCCGAGAUGACUGUUUUGGUUUUUAAGUUAUGUUAAAGAGGCAUUAAUCACUAAAAAUAAUGAGAAUAAACUUAUUGGAAAGAGAAGUUAGUUUGUGGUAUAAUGUGACAGCCAAGUCACAAGUUGUGUCAUCUUAAAAUUGUGCUAAUGUGUAUUUUGAAAAGGACAGUACUUAAUAGCUAUACCAAGGAAUGGAUUCUGGUUUACUAUGUGACUUAAAGUUGGUUUAAGCGUCUGGAAUGGAACAACUUCCCUUUAAUGUGUGAGCUAAACACAUUUCUUAAAAGACCUAUUGUCUUUCAGUCAUUUGACCUCAUCUGGCAAAUUUUCCUGUUUAUUUAGAAAACAUAGGCUACAAUUGCCAGUUUUGUCAUGUGAUGACUAACGCCAUCAUAAUAUAAUGGAAUAUUGUGUAAACAGAUCAAAAAGCGUACACUUCAAAAGAUUCAAGAAGGUGCCGAAUUUGCUAAAAGCAAAAGCAUUUUUCUCUCCUGCAGCUUUUUCUUCUUCAAAAAUAUCAUACUGGCUAUAUGAUCAUACUAUACAUCCAGCCAUUGUUUUCACAGUACUAGUUUGCUACAUAAUGAUCCAGUUGCUAGAGAGGGGAGUGUAUUAGCAUUCCAGCUUUAUACAUGUACAUUCUUUUUGUUGUUUUUAACAAGAAUCUCUAGGUUCCUAAUUAGGGAGGAAAGUGUGGAGAAACGCAUCUUAAACACACAAUGCACAAAAACAAAUACAAGGGACAACCUUGCCCCUGCAGCCCCUUUAUGUAGGGUUUGAUGAAAGGCACUCUUUAAGACCUUUUUAGGUAAUUUUGAUAGGUCAAUACUGGGAACCCAGACAUGUCACUCAGACCACAGCUUGUCUUGAGAGACAGACAGCCAUCCUGUGCACAUCAGAAUAUUUAGGGAGCAGAACAGCAUGUAUGUGGGAGGACAGAAAGCCACCUCUACAGGGUGAUCUGAUAGUUCCUAUUCUGAGCAAAUACCCAGCUCUUCCCGUGUGUUAGCAUGUGGAGGAUCAGCUGGGUGGCACAGCAUAGGGACUCCCUUGCUGUUGGCUCUCUUUUCAGAGCAGAUAAAAAAAGUAGGAGGAUCAAAGGCGGCAAAUAAAAUGAAGGGUGUUUUCUCUCUUUCAGUUUCUCCUGUAACCAUCCAAAUUCCCCAUUUUGAAAUGGUUGACUAUCUUGUCUUUGAUUAAAUCCUUUCCUUAGAUUUCUAUCCUAGUUUUAUCUUUGGCCUGCACUUGCUUUUGAAGUUUCAGCUGACUUCUUGAAUACAAAGCUAGCAAACAGCUCUAUUUCAACAGGGAGUUAUAUCGUUGAAAAGUUUAAUAGAUCACUUUGUCCUAAGGGAAAAGUUAUGAAACACCUAUCUUGAUUGGUGGCGAGGAUCCCAGAGAGUAAAUUAGCAGGUUAAAAGAGCUUGCUUUUUGCAUUGGGUUAGCCUGAAAUUAACACUAGAUGAACGGUAACAGAAGUUCUCCAAAAAAGGGUUGCUGUUUGAGGGUUAUUUGUGAAAGAAGGUCAAACACAAUAGCUGUAAGCCUCCAUGUAAAUCUGAUAGUUCCUAUUUAAAAGGAAAAAAAAUAAUUAGCAAAUCACAUACUUACCUAGCACUGUCUUGAUAGUGCACCCAUACAAUGUUGGAUGUAUGAGCAGACUAGCUCCUAAUAAUGAAAACAAAUGCACUAGGCAGGUGCAGAGGAGAACCAGGAGUGUAUUCCUUGUUUGCAUUUGUCCCAUCGACCACAGGAACAGCAGCUGUGGUGGCUCUACUGGGAUUUAUUUUAUUUUAGGAGAGUUUGGGAUUUGGAUUGUUUUAGUAAGGAAAGAUGUUUUAAUUCUAGAUCUCUUAGUGUGGCAAAGAAUUAGUUGAUGUGGUCAAAAGUUAUUAUACUUCAUUAUGUUCAAAUUACCCUGCUGUUAUUUAAAAGUCAAGCUUGCAAAGAGCUAUUGUAGAGAGUGAAUUGCUUCUUACUGUAUUUGUUGCCAUUUUAAUGACUGAGAUAGUACUGACCAAACAGUCUGAAAAACUGACCCUCAUGUUGUGGAGACAAGUUUAAAAGCUGUGUAACUUUCUAGUGUUUAUGAAUUCACGGUCAUCUUUCUACUUUGAAAAGAGCAAAGUUUUUGGAGGUAAUAAAUGUCAGUAGUCAUUCUCUGACCACAGAAAACUCAUUCUGCAAAGCAGAUCUUUAUAGUGUCCAGGUGGAUCGUUCACUUCUCUAUUCACCAAGGAGAGUUUCUCAACAGGGAGUUCGCAAGUAAAUUUAUUAAGUCUUGAACCAGGCUUCAGCAACGAACUAAGUGUUCUUUAGUUAUCUUCUUGCCAAGAGAGAUAAACCUUUUUUAUGACAGUAAUCAUUUAAGAAAAGGGAAAAAUUAUUUUUUAUCUUAGCUACGUUACUGAGCCUGCAAGCCAGCAGUAAGCAUUGCUGACUCAUUGAAGGUAAUCCUGGCAGGUGAAUGGGGCCCAAUGAAGUCUCAAGUGCUGCUGUGAUAGCCUGCUGUAAUGUGGAAUAUUAUGAAUACCUUGAUUUACACAAUCUGCACUCCUGUUAAAGAAUUUUUUUUUUAAUAGUCUGAAAUUAGAGAAGAGUCUGAUACAAGACUGGAAAAUUAAUCUCAGGAAAUUGAUGCUUUUACUCUGCAUCAAAUGAGGUGCCAAAGCAUGGUGUUUUGUUUUGUUUUUCUCUGAUUAGGCAUCAAGGCUGUUUAGCAGUUAAAAUACAAAAGAUGUUUCUCAUCAUUUUAUUCAGAAAGGGAGACUAUAAAGCACAAGAAUUAUGCCUCAAUAAAUGUAAUUUCUUA
This is a long non-coding RNA of Harpia harpyja (harpy eagle), 9676 nucleotides long. RefSeq lists it as uncharacterized. Lineage: Eukaryota; Metazoa; Chordata; Aves; Accipitriformes; Accipitridae. The record is from RefSeq and is a predicted model, not a curated record. The transcript has 2 exons.